AUUGAACGCUGGCGGCAGGCCUAACACAUGCAAGUCGAACGCGUGGCGGACGGGUGCGUAAUGUCUGGGAAACUGCCUGAUGGAGGGGGAUAACUACUGGAAACGGUAGCUAAUACCGCAUACCAUCAGAUGUGCCCAGAGGGUAUUAGCUAGUUGGGGGGGUAACGGCUCAACAAGGCGACGAUCCCUAGCUGGUCUGAGAGGAUGACCAGCCACACUGGAACUGAGACACUGUACAGACUCCGACGGUAGUCAGCAGUGGGGAAUAUUUCACAAUGGGCGCAAGCCUGAUGCAGCCAUGCCGCGUGUAUGAAGAAGGCCUUCGGGUUGUAAAGUACUUUCAGCGGGGAGGCGUUACCCGCAGAAGAAGCACCGGCUAACUCCGUGCCAGCAGCCGCGGUAAUAC
This 406-nucleotide ribosomal RNA is filed under the name uncultured bacterium. RNAcentral's name for it is "partial 16S ribosomal RNA". It matches the Rfam family "Bacterial small subunit ribosomal RNA", at positions 30 to 526 of the family's 1533-position model. The record is from RNAcentral.